Molecule: long non-coding RNA, 290 nt
Filed under: Rattus norvegicus (Norway rat)
Lineage: Eukaryota; Metazoa; Chordata; Mammalia; Rodentia; Muridae
Description: long non-coding RNA NONRATT001758
Source: RNAcentral
GCCAGAGCUGCUGCUUUGGGGAGAGGACACACAUACACCGAGGGCAAACUUGGACAACCACCAUCAGUGGAAGGCACAGGGGAGGGCUUUGUGGCAACACCUAACUUGUUUUGCAGAUCAGGAUCUGCUGCAGUCCUCUGCCCUGCAGUCCCAAAGGCCACAAUUUUAAGUCCUUGGAAGAAGAUCUCAGCAUCCAAGAACCAGUAUGCCAGGCCACUUGUUGCAAGAAGAGAUGACUCCUUCAUACACAACCACCUCCACCAUCACAGAGCCUCCCUCUGGAGUCAUGC